GACGAACGCUGGCGGCGUGCUUAACACAUGCAAGUCGAACGGAAAGGCCCUUCGGGGUACUCGAGUGGCGAACGGGUGAGUAACACGUGGGUGAUCUGCCCUGCACUUUGGGAUAAGCCUGGGAAACUGGGUCUAAUACCGAAUAGGACCACGCGCUUCAUGGUGUGUGGUGGAAGGCUUUUGCGGUGUGGGAUGGGCCCGCGGCCUAUCAGCUUGUUGGUGGGGUAAUGGCCUACCAAGGCGACGACGGGUAGCCGGCCUGAGAGGGUGACCGGCCACACUGGGACUGAGAUACGGCCCAGACUCCUACGGGAGGCAGCAGUGGGGAAUAUUGCACAAUGGGCGCAAGCCUGAUGCAGCGACGCCGCGUGAGGGAUGACGGCCUUCGGGUUGUAAACCUCUUUCAAUAGGGACGAAGCGCAAGUGACGGUACCUAUAGAAGAAGCACCGGCCAACUACGUG
This 462-nucleotide ribosomal RNA is filed under the name uncultured bacterium. Its description in RNAcentral is "partial 16S ribosomal RNA". It matches the Rfam family "Bacterial small subunit ribosomal RNA", at positions 28 to 507 of the family's 1533-position model. The record is from RNAcentral.